UACGGAGGGUGCAAGCGUUAUCCGGAUUCACUGGGUUUAAAGGGUGCGUAGGUGGGCAGGUAAGUCAGUGGUGAAAUCUCCGGGCUUAACCCGGAAACUGCCAUUGAUACUAUCUGUCUUGAAUACCGUGGAGGUGAGCGGAAUAUGUCAUGUAGCGGUGAAAUGCUUGGAUAUGACAUAGAACACCAAUUGCGAAGGCAGCUCACUACACGAAUAUUGACACUGAGGCACGAAAGCGUGGGGAUCAAACAGG
Molecule: ribosomal RNA, 253 nt
Filed under: uncultured bacterium
Lineage: Bacteria
Description: partial 16S ribosomal RNA
Rfam family: Bacterial small subunit ribosomal RNA
Source: RNAcentral